GACGAACGCUGGCGGCGUGCUUAACACAUGCAAGUCGAACGGAAAGGCCCUGCUUUUGUGGGGUGCUCGAGUGGCGAACGGGUGAGUAACACGUGAGUAACCUGCCCUUGACUUUGGGAUAACUUCAGGAAACUGGGGCUAAUACCGGAUAGGAGCUCCUGCUGCAUGGUGGGGGUGGGAAAGUUUCGGCGGUUGGGGAUGGACUCGCGGCUUAUCAGCUUGUUGGUGGGGUAGUGGCUUACCAAGGCUUUGACGGGUAGCCGGCCUGAGUGGGUGACCGGCCACAUUGGGACUGAGAUACGGCCCAGACUCCUACGGGAGGCAGCAGUGGGGAAUAUUGCACAAUGGGCGGAAGCCUGAUGCAGCAACGCCGCGUGCGGGAUGACGGCCUUCGGGUUGUAAACCGCUUUCGCCUGUGACGAAGCGUGAGUGACGGUAAUGGGUAAAGAAGCACCGGCUAACUACGUG
Molecule: ribosomal RNA, 468 nt
Filed under: uncultured bacterium
Lineage: Bacteria
Description: partial 16S ribosomal RNA
Rfam family: Bacterial small subunit ribosomal RNA
Source: RNAcentral